UGGGGAAUAUUGCACAAUGGGGGAAACCCUGAUGCAGCGACGCCGCGUGAGCGAAGAAGUAUUUCGGUAUGUAAAGCUCUAUCAGCAGGGAAGAAAAUGACGGUACCUGACUAAGAAGCCCCGGCUAAAUACGUGCCAGCAGCCGCGGUAAUACGUAUGGGGCAAGCGUUAUCCGGAUUUACUGGGUGUAAAGGGAGCGCAGGCGGCUUGGCAAGUCUGAUGUGAAAGGCUGGGGCUCAACCCCAGGACUGCAUUGGAAACUGUUAGGCUGGAGUGUCGGAGAGGUAAGCGGAAUUCCUAGUG
RNAcentral lists this ribosomal RNA (303 nucleotides) under uncultured bacterium. RNAcentral's name for it is "bacterial SSU rRNA". It matches the Rfam family "Bacterial small subunit ribosomal RNA", at positions 355 to 675 of the family's 1533-position model. The record is from RNAcentral.